GUGCCUACGGGACGCAGCAGUAGGGAAUCUUCGGCAAUGGACGGAAGUCUGACCGAGCAACGCCGCGUGAGUGAAGAAGGUUUUCGGAUCGUAAAGCUCUGUUGUAAGAGAAGAACGAGUGUGAGAGUGGAAAGUUCACACUGUGACGGUAUCUUACCAGAAAGGGACGGCUAACUACGUGCCAGCAGCCGCGGUAAUACGUAGGUCCCGAGCGUUGUCCGGAUUUAUUGGGCGUAAAGCGAGCGCAGGCGGUUAGAUAAGUCUGAAGUUAAAGGCUGUGGCUUAACCAUAGUACGCUUUGGAAA
RNAcentral lists this ribosomal RNA (305 nucleotides) under uncultured bacterium. Its description in RNAcentral is "bacterial SSU rRNA". It matches the Rfam family "Bacterial small subunit ribosomal RNA", at positions 335 to 632 of the family's 1533-position model. The record is from RNAcentral.